AUACGUAGGGGGCGAGCGUUGUCCGGAAUGAUUGGGCGUAAAGGGCGCGUAGGCGGCCCGUUAAGUCUGGAGUGAAAGUCCUGCUUUCAAGGUGGGAAUUGCUUUGGAUACUGGCGGGCUUGAGUACAGGAGAGGAAAGUGGAAUUACCGGUGGAGCGGUGAAAUGCGUAGAGAUCGGUAGGAACAACAGUGGCGAAGGCGGCUUUCUGGACUGAAACUGACGCUGAGGCGCGAAAGCGUGGGGAGCAAACAGGAUUAGAUACCCUGGUAGUCCACGCUGUAAACGAUGAAUGCUAGGUGUAGGAGGUAUCGACCCCUUCUGUGCCGGAGUCAACACAAUAAGCAUUCCGCCUGGGGAGUACGGCCGCAAGGUUGAAACUCAAAUGAAUUGGCGGGG
Molecule: ribosomal RNA, 397 nt
Filed under: uncultured bacterium
Lineage: Bacteria
Description: partial 16S ribosomal RNA
Rfam family: Bacterial small subunit ribosomal RNA
Source: RNAcentral